GAUGAAGAACGCAGCGAAAUGCGAUAAGUAAUGUGAAUUGCAGAAUUCAGUGAAUCAUCGAAUCUUUGAACGCACCUUGCACUCCUUGGUAUUCCAUGGGGCAUGCCUGUUCGAGCGUCAUUUGUACCCUCAAGCUUUGCUUGGUGUUGGGUGUUUGUCCCGCGUUGCGCGUGGACUCGCCUUAAAGCGAUUGGCAGCCGGCAUAUUGGCCUUGGAGCGCAGCACAUUUUGCGCUUCUAGUCAUGAAUGUUGGCGUCCAUUAAGCCUAUACAUUUGCUCUUGACCUCGGAUCAGGUAGGGAUACCCGCUGAACUUAAGCAUAUCAAUAAGCGGAGGA
RNAcentral lists this unclassified non-coding RNA (337 nucleotides) under soil metagenome. RNAcentral describes it as "partial contains 5.8S ribosomal RNA, internal transcribed spacer 2, and large subunit ribosomal RNA". The stretch from base 1 to 120 matches the Rfam family "5.8S ribosomal RNA", at positions 35 to 154 of the family's 154-position model. The record is from RNAcentral.